This 759-nucleotide ribosomal RNA is filed under the name Firmicutes bacterium PM49. RNAcentral's name for it is "bacterial SSU rRNA". It matches the Rfam family "Bacterial small subunit ribosomal RNA", at positions 36 to 781 of the family's 1533-position model. The record is from RNAcentral. Lineage: Bacteria; Bacillati; Bacillota.
CUGGUGGCGUGCCUAAUACAUGCAAGUCGAACGCGCGUAUCAGGAGCUUGCUCCUGUGACGCGAGUGGCGGACGGGUGAGUAACACGUAGGCAACCUGCCCAUCAGACCGGGAUAACCACGGGAAACCGUGGCUAAUACCGGAUAAUCCUUUUCCACACAAGUGGGAGAGUUGAAAGGCGGCCUUUUGUCUGUCACUGGUGGAUGGCCCUGCGGCGCAUUAUCUGGGUGGUGGGGUAACGGCCCACCAAGGACACUAUGCGUACCCCACCUGACGGCCACACUGGGACUGACACACGGCCCACACUCCUACGGGAGGCAGCAGUAGGGAAUCUUCCGCAGUGGACGAAAGUCUGACAGAGCCACGCCGCGUGAGUGAAGAAGGGUUUCGGCUCGUAAAACUCUGUUGUCAGGGAAGAACGCCCACGGGAGUAACUGCCCGUCGGGUGACGGCACCUGACCAGAAAGCCACGGCUAACUACGUGCCAGCAGCCGCGGAUAUACAUAGGUGGCAAGCGUUAUCCGGAAUUAUUGGGCGUAAAGCGCGCGUACGCGGUUCGUUAAGUCUGAUGUGAAAGCCCCCGGCUCAACCGGGGAGGGUCAUUGGAAACUGGCGGACUUGAGUCGCAGAAGAGGAGAGUGGAAUUCCAUGUGUAGCGGUGAAAUGCGCAGAGAUAUGGAGGAACACCAGUGGCGAAGGCGGCUCUCUGGUCUGCAACUGACGCUGAGGUGCAGAAAGCGUGGGGAUCACACAGGAUUAG